RNAcentral lists this long non-coding RNA (249 nucleotides) under Mytilus galloprovincialis (Mediterranean mussel). Lineage: Eukaryota; Metazoa; Mollusca; Bivalvia; Mytilida; Mytilidae. The record is from RNAcentral.
AAAAAAAAUGAAUUGAACCUGGUUUAAUGGCAUGCCAAAGACCUCACUUUAUGACAAUGUUAAACAAUAUCGCUAAAACACUACGGAACAAAAAUAAACAAGAACAAACACACGCAAAAAUAUUCAUACCAGCUAAACGCACACACAAAUAUUAAAUAUAAUUGUCGACACAACAUGCAAACUGCAGAACAUCGAAGAACAUAUUCAAUCAACGACAAACACCACAGGAAUUCAAAAAUAGUCACGCGC